AACGAACGCUGGCGGCAUGCCUAACACAUGCAAGUCGAACGAAGCCUUCGGGCUUAGUGGCGACCGGGUGCGUAACGCGUGGGAAUCUGCCCCUUGCUUCGGAAUAACAGUUAGAAAUGACUGCUAAUACCGGAUGAAGUCUUCGGACCAAAGAUUUAUCGGCAAGGGAUGAGCCCGCGUAGGAUUAGGUAGUUGGUGGGGUAAAGGCCUACCAAGCCGACGAUCCUUAGCUGGUCUGAGAGGAUGAUCAGCCACACUGGGACUGAGACACGGCCCAGACUCCUACGGGAGGCAGCAGUGGGUAAUAUUGGACAAUGGACGCAAGGCUGAUCCAGCAAUGCCGCGUGAGUGAUGAAGUCCGUAGGGUUGUAAAGCUCUUUUACCAGGGAUGAUAAUGACAGUACCUGGAGAAUAAGCUCCGGCUAACUCCGUG
This 433-nucleotide ribosomal RNA is filed under the name uncultured bacterium. RNAcentral describes it as "partial 16S ribosomal RNA". It matches the Rfam family "Bacterial small subunit ribosomal RNA", at positions 29 to 507 of the family's 1533-position model. The record is from RNAcentral.